Molecule: unclassified non-coding RNA, 294 nt
Filed under: plant metagenome
Description: partial contains small subunit ribosomal RNA, internal transcribed spacer 1, and 5.8S ribosomal RNA
Rfam family: Eukaryotic small subunit ribosomal RNA (bases 1-54)
Source: RNAcentral
GGAAGUAAAAGUCGUAACGAGGUAUCCGUAGGUGAACCUGCGGAAGGAUCAUUAACGAAGGAGAUUGUGGGUGGGGGGGGGAGGAGGGUUGGAGGGAUGAUUGAUUGAUCGUCUGAUCGAUUAUCCACUCUCAUCCACUCUCUCCCACCCACACCAUUAUUCACCCCGAGUAGUCGUUGUCGACUGCGGGCCGUUUUGAGCGAUCAAAACACAAAAUAUAUAGACGCAUGGAUGUUUGACAGUAUUUAUGAGUAAAAUGAUAAACAACUUUUAACAAUGGAUCUCUUGGCUCUU